CUCAAACAGGAAGUACCCGUGCUAAGGUAUAUUCAAUGCUGGUCUGACAAUCGGAAUCCAUGCUUCAAGAUUGUUUUGAUAACACGGACUGGGAUAUGUUCCCGGGUUGCCUCUGAGAAUAACAUUGACGUAUAGAGACGGACACGGUGACUGAGUUCAUCAGGAAGUGUAUAAGGGAUGACAAAGUGGAGUCGCAAUUCAACGGCUCAGCCACGAGACGCAUGUGGCAGGGACUCCAGACAAUCACGGAUUAUGAAGGGAAUAGCAGCCAUGACACGGACACCGACGUCUUUCUCCCGGACAAGCUAAACACCUUUGCCCGCUUUGAGGAUAGCACAGUGCUACCGACACAGCCCACUCCCUAGGACUGUGGGCUCUUGGUCUCCGUGGCCGACGUAAGUAAGGCAUUUAAGCGCGUUAACCAUCGCAAGGCUGCCGGCCCAGACUGCAUUCCUAGCCGAGGCCUCAGAGCAUGUGCAGACCAGCUGGCUGGAGUGUUUACGGACAUAUUCAGUCUCUCCCUAUCCCAGUCUGCUGUCCCCACUUACUUCAAGAUGUCCACCAUUGUCCCUGUAACCAAGAUAGUCAUUUAGUUCAGUUACCUUUGCUAUCGCCCCAUAGCACUCACUUCUGUCAUCAUGAAGUGCCAUGGGAGGCUAGUUAAGGAUCAUGUCACCUCCACCUUAUGUGACACCCUAGAGACACUUCAAUUUGCAUACCGCCCCCAAUAGAUCCACAGACGAUGCAAUCGCCAUCACACUGCUCUAUUCCAUCUGGACAAGAGGAAUACCUAUGUAAGAAUACUGUUCAUCGACUAUAGCUUAGACUUUAACACCAUAGUACCCUCCAAGCGCAUCAUUAAACUCGGGCCCCUGGGUCUGAAACCCCCCCCCCCUGAUGGGCUGCCCCCAGGUGGUGAAGGUGGGAAACAACACCACUACACUGAUUCUCAAUACAGGGACCCCAGAAGGGUGCAUGCUCAGCCCCCUCCUGUACUCCCUGCUCACCAAUGACUGCGUGGCCAUGCACACUUCCAACUCAAUCAUCAAGUUUGCAGACGACACAACAGUAGUAGACCUGAUUAACAACAAUGACGAGACAGCCUACAGGGAGGAGGUGAGGGUCCUGGCGGAAUGGUGCCAGGAAAUAACCUCUCUCUCAAUGUCAACAAAAUGAAGGUGCUGAUCGUGGACUUCAGGAGACAGCAGAGGGAGCACACUCCUAUCGACGGGACCGCAGUGGAGAAGGUGAAAAGCUUCAAGUUCCUCGGAGUACACAUCACUGACAAUCUGUGUGGUGAAAACAGCACCUCUUCAACCUCAGGAGGCUGAAGAAAUUCAGCUUAGCCCCUAUUACACAAUUGAAAGCAUCAUGUCGGGCUGUAUCACCGCCUGGUAUGGCAACUUCACCGCCUGCAACCUCAGGGCUCUCCAGAGGGUGGUGUUUCUUCCCAGCGCAUUUUAGUCAAUGCCACUCCAACAUUGCUCAUCCUAACAUAUUUCUUAAUUCCAUUCUUUUACUUUUAGAUUUGUGUGUAUUGUUGUGAAUUGUUAGAUACUACUGCACUGUUGGAGCUAGAAACACAAGCAUUUUGCUACACCGAUAAAUAUGUGAUUGUGACCAAUACUAUUUUAUUUUAAAGUGGCCUGUUAUUUUCUCCAGCACAAAGUGUACCUGUGUGAUGAUCAUGCUGUUUAGUCAGGUUCUUGAUAUGCCACACCAGAUUAUCUUGGCAAAGGAGAAACACUCACUAACAGGGAUGUAAACAAAUUUGUGCACAAAAUUUGAUAGAAAUAAGCUUUUUGUGCGUAUGGAACAUUUCUGUGAUUUUAAUUUUAUUUCAGUUGAUGAAACACGGGACCAACAUUUUUUACAUGUUGCGUUUAUAUUUUUGUAAAGUUUUUUUCUGCAGUGUCAAGUGGAAACAUAAGCAACCCUGUUAUACUAGCUAGUAGUAGCUAGUGGAAGUAAGUUAGUCCCAAAGCUACCAGCUACAGUCAGAUUUCUCCAUUAAUUGAUGUAGCUAGCUUAACUAGAUAUUCUAGCUGGCAGAUGGUGCUUAUUGACUGAGUAAUAAUUAACUGCAAUUACUGUAAAUGUUUAGCUGUCUGGCACUUUGCAUAGCUAACUUAGCUAUUGCUUACACAUCUAACACAACAAUAUCAAUUUAAGCUACAGUCAUUGCUUGUGUGUGUGAGUUCUGAAUGUUCCCGCAGGAGAAGGGCACAGUGUUGCAUUUGAGCAGGUCAUCAUGAACUUCGUGUAGGUGCAUCAGCCAAUACAAACCAUUCACACAGUUCAGGCACUCAGCCCUAUCCAGUGGACAUGAUGCUCUCAAAGACCUGCUCUACCGCUUCCUACAACACCCUGAUGAGAAGCAAUAAGACUGGCCUCAUGACUUUCACUCACUGAUGGUGUGUAGGCUGGGUGAUGGCACCUGCAGGCCUGUUUGAGGGACAACUGGACAGAACAUCUCAGAAUGCUUGGACCUCAGCUGAGACCGUUCUUUCUGUUCCCGUCCUUCAAAGGAAAGCCCCUUCUUUACACUUGCGGUUAGGCAUGAUGCUCUCAAAGUGUCUCUCUCAUGUUGUGUGUUAUUAUCUAUAGAUGUCUCCAAGACACUUUCAAAUAGUUUGCCUGUGAAUGGUUGUCCACUGUCAGGCUAUUUACUUGUAACCUUUUUAAAAUACUGCUCCCCUCUCACAGAACUGCCCUGUGCUCUCUCUCUCUCUCUCUCCAGGAUACAUGAGGUUGAAGUUGCUUUGUUGAUGGCACCCCUUCAUCCUAAGUUCUGCUCACUCUUGUUCAACUACUCUUUGAUUAAAUCAGUUUAAUUCAGUGUUUAAAAUGUGCUUCAAGUGUGUUUUUUACUGAAAGUUGACAAGGCACUUUAUGA
This 2896-nucleotide long non-coding RNA is filed under the name Salmo salar (Atlantic salmon). RNAcentral describes it as "lncRNA (ENSSSAG00000097449.1)". Lineage: Eukaryota; Metazoa; Chordata; Actinopteri; Salmoniformes; Salmonidae. The record is from RNAcentral.